This 253-nucleotide ribosomal RNA is filed under the name uncultured bacterium. Its description in RNAcentral is "partial 16S ribosomal RNA". It matches the Rfam family "Bacterial small subunit ribosomal RNA", at positions 524 to 776 of the family's 1533-position model. The record is from RNAcentral.
UACAGAGGUCUCAAGCGUUGCUCGGAAUCACUGGGCGUAAAGCGCACGUAGGCGGACUCUUAAGUCAGGGGUGAAAUCCUGGAGCUCAACUCCAGAACUGCCUUUGAUACUGAAGAUCUUGAGUCCGGGAGAGGUGAGUGGAACUGCGAGUGUAGAGGUGAAAUUCGUAGAUAUUCGCAAGAACACCAGUGGCGAAGGCGGCUCACUGGCCCGAUACUGACGCUGAGGUGCGAAAGCGUGGGGAGCAAACAGG